Molecule: ribosomal RNA, 476 nt
Filed under: uncultured bacterium
Lineage: Bacteria
Description: partial 16S ribosomal RNA
Rfam family: Bacterial small subunit ribosomal RNA
Source: RNAcentral
GACGAACGCUGGCGGCGUGCUUAACACAUGCAAGUCGAACGGUAAGGCCCUUCGGGGUACACGAGUGGCGAACGGGUGAGUAACACGUGGGCAACCUGCCUCAUAGAGGGGAAUAGCCUCCCGAAAGGGAGAUUAAUACCGCAUAAAAUUAUCGAGUGGCAUCACAUGAUAAUCAAAGGAGUAAUCCGCUAUGAGAUGGGCCCGCGGCGAAUUAGCUAGUUGGUGAGGUAACGGCUCACCAAGGCGACGAUGCGUAACCGACCUGAGAGGGUGAUCGGCGACAUGGGGACUGAGACACGGCCCAGACUCCUACGGGAGGCAGCAGUGGGGAAUAUUGCACAAUGGGGGAAACCCGGAUGCAGCAACGCCGCGUGAGUGAUGAAGGUCUUCGGAUUGUAAAGCUCUGUCUUUGGGGACGAUAAUGACGGUACCCAAGGAGGAAGCCACGGCUAACUACGUGCCAGCAGCCGCCGUAA